This 404-nucleotide ribosomal RNA is filed under the name uncultured bacterium. RNAcentral's name for it is "bacterial SSU rRNA". It matches the Rfam family "Bacterial small subunit ribosomal RNA", at positions 355 to 776 of the family's 1533-position model. The record is from RNAcentral.
UGGGGAAUAUUGGACAAUGGGGGCAACCCUGAUCCAGCAAUGCCGCGUGUGUGAAGAAGGUCUUCGGAUUGUAAAGCACUUUCGACAGGGACGAUGAUGACGGUACCUGUAGAAGAAGCCCCGGCUAACUUCGUGCCAGCAGCCGCGGUAAUACGAAGGGGGCUAGCGUUGCUCGGAAUGACUGGGCGUAAAGGGCGCGUAGGCGGAUUUAUCAGUCAGACGUGAAAUUCCUGGGCUUAACCUGGGGGCUGCGUUUGAUACGGUAAGUCUAGAGUGGGAUAGAGGGUUGUGGAAUUCCCAGUGUAGAGGUGAAAUUCGUAGAUAUUGGGAAGAACACCGGUGGCGAAGGCGGCAACCUGGAUCUUGACUGACGCUGAGGCGCGAAAGCGUGGGGAGCAAACAGG